This is a long non-coding RNA of Sus scrofa (pig), 661 nucleotides long. RefSeq lists it as uncharacterized. Lineage: Eukaryota; Metazoa; Chordata; Mammalia; Artiodactyla; Suidae. The record is from RefSeq and is a predicted model, not a curated record.
AGACCUGGGGGGGCGAGAAUCGCAGCGCCGUGAGGGCUCCGCGCAAAUCCAUCUUACUCUCAAUAGCUAAGUGACAUGAAAGCCAUAAAAGAAAAAGUGGUCAGCAAUAUUUAGCAGCACGACUUGGCCCCGGGCGCAGAGAGCGCGCUAUAAAAAGCCGCUGGAAUUUACUGGCAGCUACAAAUAUUUGCUUAACUUGCGUCUGGAGUUGGGGGGUUUUCCAGGGAGAGAGGAGGAGAGUGAGAGGUCCGGAAACUGGGUCUCGGGAGCUGGAGUCCAAAAGGAGAAAAGCCUGAUGGGGACUGACAUUUGCCAAAAGAACCAUGAGGCGGGGUGACAUCCCAUCCAGGCCCUUCUUGGACCUUCCAGCACCCAAGAGAGAAGGUCACCAGACCCUCCUGCCUUGGACUUUCUGAGGUGCUGUUAUUCAGAGCAACUAUCAAAUUCUACCUGUUAAAACAUGAUGGAUUAGAGGGGGGGGAAACCCACCAGGAACCUGAAAAACCAGCGUUCAUCUCCAUGACCACGGCUUGAACUCUUCUUCCAACUUAACGAUAAUAGGUUCUGUCUUAGAAACUGCUAUGUAAUUUGAUGUAUGGGGGUCAUUUGGCUCCGGACGAGGGAUGGAAGCACAAGCCAUAAAAUCCUGCCAGAGUUCCCU